This 503-nucleotide ribosomal RNA is filed under the name uncultured bacterium. RNAcentral describes it as "bacterial SSU rRNA". It matches the Rfam family "Bacterial small subunit ribosomal RNA", at positions 21 to 518 of the family's 1533-position model. The record is from RNAcentral.
GGUUCAGGAUGAACGCUAGCGGCAGGCUUAACACAUGCAAGUCGAGGGGCAUCGGGAGUAGCAAUACUUGCCGGCGACCGGCGCAAGGGUGCGUAACGCGUGAGCAACAUGCCCGUAUCAGGGGGAUAAUCCAUGGAAACGUGGUCUAAUACCCCAUAGUAAUUAUGUAAGGCAUCUUAUAUAAUUUAAAGCUUUGGUGGAUACGGAUUGGCUCGCGUGACAUUAGCUGGAUGGUAAGGUAACGGCUUACCAUGGCUACGAUGUCUAGGGGUUCUGAGAGGAAGGUCCCCCACACUGGAACUGAGACACGGUCCAGACUCCUACGGGAGGCAGCAGUGAGGAAUAUUGGACAAUGGAUGGAAAUCUGAUCCAGCCAUGCCGCGUGCAAGGAAGACGGCCCUAUGGGUUGUAAACUGCUUUUGUAUGGGAGCAAUAAGGGCUACGUGUAGUCCGAUGAGAGUACCAUACGAAUAAGCACCGGCUAACUCCGUGCCAGCCGCGGC